RNAcentral lists this long non-coding RNA (1833 nucleotides) under Bemisia tabaci. Its description in RNAcentral is "lncRNA ENSASIAIIG007339". Lineage: Eukaryota; Metazoa; Arthropoda; Insecta; Hemiptera; Aleyrodidae. The record is from RNAcentral.
CACAAAGGGGGGAAAAUAUUCGAAAAAUUUGAUAGGGGUGCACAGAGAGUUGUUUACAUCAAAUGGAAAGCAUCACAGAACCGAGCUGAAGCUGAUUGCGGGAUAGUAAGCACACGGGACGAAAGGGGUCAUGUGAACAGAGAAAGCAUCGCUAAUGGCAUGGCGCCUAAAAUAUGGCUCCACCUAGGCAUUGUCCUUGAAGCUCUUAGUUGAACUUUACGUGAUGGGACGAAUUAAAUUAAAGUAAUUACCUGGGGCACUCAAGUGCGGCUUGAUAUCGAGAACGUAAAUCAAGACGAUAAGAAGACAGCGAUGGACGAAAUCCGGAGAAUAAAGAUGCGCUAUGAGAUUUUCGGCUUCGACCUGAGUUGUCGACUUUUGUGAUCCCUAAAUGUGGCUUUUCUUUCCUAUCUCCAGCGAUUCCGUUGAUUUGUGAUGAAAAGUAUUUUUUAAAAACCCUCCGACAAAUUUUCUUUCCAUUAGGUACGAUAAUAACGCUAAGAUACAAACAAAAAGCUUGAAAUAUUAUUCGUUAAAUUAGGCGAUGUUUUGUUUACCGCCACCCUCGGUUUAGACUUAACUUGCAAUAACGGGGUUCUUAUCAGUCGACAAGUUUUCAGAGUGCGAGGUAAACAAUAACACGCCGAAAUGAAUCUGAUAAGAGAAAAGUUUUGCUUAUUUUUCUCCGUACAUUCAGAAUUGUGCUUUAUUUUUAAAAUUAAAAGUGAAGGAAAAAAUUAACUUCAUUCAUAACUAUGCAGGGUAUUUAUGUUUAAUCUUUAGUUUUCCUGUGUAAUAUUGAUUUCUGUGGCAAGUAUGACUUUUCGGGAAAAAUUCAAAUAUUAUAAACAGAAGAAUCCCAAGCCUGGAUUUGAGGAGGUUCUAGAUUUUUCCCAGCUGGAGAGUAAUGUCAAGGGCAUUUCAAGCAGAACAAGUGUAUGCGAACCUACUGAGGAAGAUUUAUCAUCUCUCGGUUUACAAGAAGUUAAUCAGUGGCAUAUUUUGAACUAAUUGACAAACCAGGUUUGUGAAUUUAAGUAAUUGAAAUUGCAUUCUGCUGCUGUCACAGUUUUGCUGGGGAUCUGUUUCGGUUUAGUACUUUUGCUAUCACAUUGUGACCUUUUGAAUAUUUUUAAUAGAAAAUUGUACUUACUUUGUCAGGAUUGAAUCGAGGGGAUUUGAAUUUAUUGAAUUUAAAAAAGGAAGUUGGAUGAUAAAGAGUAAAGUCAUUUUUGGACUCAUCAGCCGAAAAUAUACGGAAAUGUAAUUAGCAUGUCUCAGAAAUUUUCUUGCUCUUUCUGAUAUAGUAUUUUCAAUGAAAUCACGGAAAUCGCCUAUUUGCUGAAUGUAUCUCAAUAUCUCAUUAAAUUGAGUCUAAAAGGAAAGGGGAACAUUUUCUCUGCAUGUUUGUAUACCUACUUAGGAUUGAUCCUAUGAAAUGCUUGCUGCUGAAUCCAAAAGUGACCUCAAUUUCUGUCUAUUUUUUUUCAAUUCUGGAAUUCAUUAGGCAUUCAAAUUGAUUGAAACAAGUGGCGUUCUACACCCUAAGUACUAACAAUAAACCAUCCAAAUUUCUAUAAAAAAGAUAUUUUGCAAAUUAAAAUUAUGACUUACAAGUUAUGUUACAACUAUCAAAAAUCAGAUAUUUAGAUGGAGGAUUUAUACAAGGGAGUUAUUUCCAGAUAUUUACCUCUGGGAGGGAGUAGGGAUGAUAAGAGCAUGAUCCCCACUCCCUCCAACAAUUAAAAAACUGAUCAAUGAGGCAUUAGGGUCAGGCCCGCCACAAGGGGAAGGGGGGGAAUACUGGGUCCCUGGUACCGGGGCCCGGGCCCU